CCAAAAUAGGUAUACAUCACCCAUCUUGAGUCGCCAAAUACAUGGUACAGAAAUUAAAUACAAACUUCUUUUAUACAGUACGACAAAACAUAGCUGAGAGUUUCAACACGGAUAAUUUCUCGUAGAGAGUAUCCAAACUCAAAUAAAGUCCUCAUUAUAAUUAUUAUCACACUAUUUCACAUAAUAGUGAGGACUACAAUAGCCACUUAUCUGGACCGUCACUUCAUUUCCCGACUCAUCCCAACUAUAUUCUCAUUUCCUGAAGAGAACAAUGAAAGCAAAAUGGUGAGCUCAACUAGCCCAGUAAGAAAUAUUAUGACUAAGAUAAGGCAGAAUAAAUUAUCAUUAGCUUUCAACAGUGUUAAACUGAUAAAAUACAAUAAACAUCAAGUUCAACUGCAGCGGAACAAGCAAUCCAUUAGAAGAGUAAAGUAGAGCAUGCUAACUACUAUCUUCUAUGAUUUUAAAAGUUUAUCAUCAAUUUUAUCGCUGAGACUCAGCUAAAUAAAUAAUCCACAUCACUGAAUUAUCCAUGCACUACAGGCCAAGGAUAUUCAUUAUUAUCACCAAUGGUUAUGAUCAUACCAACAACUGUCCAUCAAUGCACUACGGGCCAAUGAUGACUUUUACCACAUCAUUUGUAACAUUACGGGUCAUGAUUAUACUGAAUAAUCCCUAGUCAUAAUCAUACCAAUUACAGUCCAUCUAUGUACUACGGCCAAAGAUGACUUUCAUCACAUUAUAAUCAUGAGGAUGAUGACAAUGAUAUAAGAAUUCAAUUUAAAUGAGAGCAAGGAUAAAUUUUAAAGAUUUAUAAUUCAAUUUAUCCAGAAUUCAAUAAUGUCUAAAUUGCCAACAUGAUACUGCUUUGUGGAGUAAAAUUCAAGAAUAACAUUGUAUCAAAAAUAAUUUGGACAGUAAAGAAAUUAAUUUUUGUCAUGAAUAGUACCCCGUGAAUAGUACCCCGGCAUGAAAAGAUUAAACUUUAACAAGAAUGUUCAGAAAAAUAUCCUUGUGAAACGAUACUAGAUGAAGUACAAAUUUCAAGGAUAUUCUACUAAUUUCAUGGAGUUUAGAAGCAAUAAUUAUCAACAUAAGUGUAGAAUUAUGAAUAUGAAAUGAAAUAGUAUUACUUACAUACUACAGAGUAUAUAAGAAAAUAUUAUUUCUUACGAAUAUUGAACAAAAAUAAUAUCACUUACGAAUACGAAAGAAAUAAUACCCCUUACCUUAGUAGGAGAUUGGCUACUAAAAUAGUGUAGUAAUAAAAUACUCUUCUUCUUUCUCUCUUAUUCUCUAUCUAUAGAAUUCUCUUGUGAGUCGUAGUGAAUUGGUGAGAAUGAAAGAAGAAAUAAGCUUCUAUUUAUAGAAGAUUUCUAACUUAGCCCUUGCAAUGUGAAAAAGCAAGUGGCUUGACGACUGGUGAUGUGAAAAAAAAAGUGGUUUGACGCUUGUAAUGUAAAACAACAAGUGGUUUGACGUUUAUAAUGUGAAACGAAAAUUGGUUCGACGCCUGUAAUGUGAAACGACAAUUGGUUCGACGCCUGUAAUGUGAAACAACAAUUGGUUCGACGCCUAUAAUAUGAAACGGCAAGUGGUUUGACAUAUAGGUAAUUACUUUUGGCGAAAGUGACUCUUAGAUGAUGACAUAUGGGCCCCCAUAGAAUAAACUAAACUUACCACAUACGUCUCAUAACAGACUUCUUAUUUAUAUCAAAGAUUGAAUAAAUAUUACCACAAAUCAUUUUAUCUUUAAUCAACACAUAUUUAAUCUUUCAACAAUUAUUCAUCAUUAAUAUUAUAACUCACAAUAUUUAAUAACCAGAUCAUUCACAGGAAAGAAGGGGCUUUCCGAUAAAGAUUUCUCCCUAUUGGCGUGCAAUUAGGUGAUCAAACAUCUCCUCAACAGAAUUUUUUAGACAUCGUCAAUAUUAUAAAUACUAAUAUGAAUAAUUUUGUCAUCACAAUUAUUGAUUUAAUAAUAUAAAAUAUUAUGCAGAUGAUACUGUGAUAAUAAGUAAAUCAAUAAUAUGAGAUACUAUGCAGCAAUUACUAUAGCAAUAAUUGAGUAUAACAGAGUGACUUCUUACGUAAGCAUCAAUAAUCAAUACUGUGUGCUACUAUGCAACCACACAUAUUACUAUACUUUUAC
RNAcentral lists this long non-coding RNA (2152 nucleotides) under Panax ginseng (ginseng). RNAcentral's name for it is "long non-coding RNA (PGIN_LNC008605)". The record is from RNAcentral. Lineage: Eukaryota; Viridiplantae; Streptophyta; Magnoliopsida; Apiales; Araliaceae.